RNAcentral lists this long non-coding RNA (3460 nucleotides) under Sus scrofa (pig). RNAcentral's name for it is "lncRNA (ENSSSCG00000057469.1)". Lineage: Eukaryota; Metazoa; Chordata; Mammalia; Artiodactyla; Suidae. The record is from RNAcentral.
CACAUGAAAAUCAUAAUUCUCAUGUCUCUGAGUAUUAUUGAUGAUGUGGCAUAUGCCUUUUUAUGUCUAUUGUUCAGGUAUAUUUACAUUUGUGUGAAAUGUCUAUUCAUGUUUUGCCCAGUUUUCUGGGUUUUUUUAAAGUCUUUUUAUGUUCCUUUUUUCCCUUUGUUUAAGGUGAAUUUUGAUAAAAGUUCUUAAUAUUAAUGAAGUAAAAUUUUAUUAUUUUUAUUUUGUAGGUGGCACAUAGGUGCCUUGUUUUAAAAAAUCAUUCCCUAGCAACAAAUUGAGAAAUAUACUGCUUUCUUCUAAAAGUUUAAAAUAUAUGGCUUUGAAAUAUGAGCUAACUAUCCUUUUAGAGUUGAUUUUAGUGAUGAUAUGAGAUAGAGAUUUAUUUUCUUUUUCUUUUCUUUAUGGGUAAUUAUUAAUUAAAACUCAUUUUUUAAUAAUUCCACCCUUAUACGUUACCUUACUUCAUCCUCUCUGUUGUCUCAUAAAAUUCCUGAUAGGCAUAAUAUGCUUCUGUUUCAGUUGUUGGGUUUUCUAGCCCUGGGCCAAUAACACAUGCUUUUAGGAGCUAUCACUUUGUAAUAAGUCUCUAUUAAAAUCAAUUUAUCAAGCCCUGUGAAUAACCUUAUUAAAACUUGGACUAACAUUUUGUCAGUUUAAUAGAUCAACCUUGGGAAAGUGGCAUCUUUAAACUAUUCUCUCUUCUGUAAAUGUAGGCUUCCUCUCCAUGUAAUUAAUGUCCUCAGUCAAGAAUUUCAGUUUGUCCUUAAGCAGUAAAGAAUUCUGAACAUUCUCAAUUAGUAUAGAUCACAUCCACCUGGAGAACACUGGGACCCUGUGGUCAAAUUGCCAACAGCCAAAAGAUAAGCUCAAAACAUCAGGAAACUUUAAAGUUGUCCUUAAAGGGUAAAAGCAAACUUCAUUGUUGGAAUCUUACAAGCACUGCUAAGUUUUUUUCAAGGCAAGUCUGAUUCGGGUACAUAAAUAUGGAUUUUAAAAUAGCUCUCAUCUAUCCACAAUAAACAGGCAAGUUGCAGCCUGGAUAACUAAUAUAUACAGAUGUGUUCAUGGUCUCUUUAACCCAUGGAGCACACAUAAAGUUAUUUUUGAUAUAGAAAUGUAGGAAUUCCCUAGUGACCUAUCAGGUUAAGGAUCCAGUAUUGUCCCUGCUUUAGCUUUGGUUACUGCUGUGGCGUGGGUUCAAUUCCUGGCCUGGGAACUUCCAUAUGCCACAGGCAUGACCAAAAAAAAGGCAGAAAGAAAUACAAUCCUGGAGUCACCAAAACAGCCAUAAAGGCAACAUUUUUGCUGUUGCAGCUUUGUGCCACUUAACAUUGUCUGUAGACAGUUACUGAAGAUCAUUACUUCCUGUGACCUCCUGCACCAGAAUAUUUAACAGAGCUAACAGGUAGCAAAACUGACCAAAUUGAAAUUAUCCUUCUCUUCCUGUCCUAACCUUCAUGAUUUGAAACAAUUAAACAGUCUAAAUAUAGGCAGAAAAAAAAUGAUUAGAUUUGGAUUGUAAAGCCACUAGAAAACCAUUGGGUUUAAAGUUAGUAAAGUUUCCUUAACUGAACCACCCCAGAAAAUCAAUCAAAAAUUUAAGCAAUGGAUUCCAUAAUUUCCCCAAAUGUGUAGGAAUGUUUUGUAAACAGUAGUAAAACCAUAUCCUCUCAUCAUCCAGAGAGAAUAUGACUUCAACCACUUAAUCAGUACCUCUGUAUAUGAGGUACAAGUUACUUCCAUAAAAUAUAUACAUUUCUAAAUUUUCACCCUGUAAAUUCAAACCUUCCAGGCCCGACUAAAUGCAAUAUGACAUUUCCCUAGUCAACAACAACAAAUGUGAUUUAUUUUCUCCUCUGUUUCCAUGCCACCUUAUACCUAUUAUGACACCAAUAACACUUUACUUGUCCCCACAAUAAUUUUUGGAUUGUCUCAUUUCAUACAUCUACUGUUAAGGACAGAGAAACUAUUGGUAAUAUUAUUUCUAAUGGUAAUUUCUAGACUCAACCAAUGAACUGUAGGAUAUGUCUCAUAGCAUAACAAUAAAUAUUUUUCAGCCUGUUAAAUACUAGUACACCAUGAGAGAGCAGUCCAUUAACUUUCUCAAGUGACCAAAUGUGAUGAUUUGCAAUCUACAUUUAAUGUUUGGGUCAUUAGAAUGUGAAUUUAUAACUUCAUGGGAAAGGACAAACUAGGAGUAUCACUGACUGCUGAGGGGCAAUUGGAACUGGACACUGCUAUAACGAGCUCAUCCUCACAGGGAUUUCAUGCUGCCAGCUUAGAAGAGCAACAGGCAGCUAACCAAUUCUAGUUCUCAUGGCAUAAAAGGCAAUGCUUUAACUAAAUCUUUAAAUGUUUUUAUAUGAUGAAAUUAUAUCAAGAGCCUGUGUGUUUUGUCCAAAUGUGAAAAAAAAAUCUCUGAAAUAACAACGAAGAACUAAUAUAUUUUUUGUUAUAUAUAACAAAAGAUUAGACUUAGUUGACUUAGGACAUAAACAGUUCCUUUAAAAAUUAAUUUUCUUAAUAAAAAUAAACAUUUAGAAACAAUAUCCAGAAAUGACAUAUUGUUGGUUUAGGGAGAGCAGGUACCCAAGAUAUUAAGCCCGUUUUUGUAAAUCUGAUGAAUAAAUGCAUAUAUGAGUCCUAACAGAUUCCCUCUUCUACUACUGGUCCUUCUUAAAAUCCAUAGACCACAAUUAUCAUUGAUCAAAUUUCAUAUACACAUACAGAUGGAAACUAUUUUUUUAGCAAAAAUAUCUCCUCAGUGAAAGGCACUGUAGUACCAGGUUUUAUGAAUAGAAGAUUAAGAAAAACUCCCACUCAUGAAUCUUACAUUCAGGGUAACAAGAAAAAGGAACAUUCCAUUAAUACAUGCUAAAACCCAGGACUAAAUCAUCAGCAUUCAAUUUUUUAGUGCAACAAUUCCAUGAACAUAUUUUUUUCUUCUUUUCUCCAGGCCAUUAGAUGUGUCCAAAUGUAUCUAAUUAUAAACAGUUGGUAUCUUUGCUUCAUAUAUAAUGAUGGCUUCAUGAAGUUAAAGGAAAUCAAGAUCAGCAAUUUAAGCAGUUAUUUGAAUAAAUGAACAGUUAUGGGAGCCACUUAGUCCUUCACUUAAAAAUAUACUAGUGGCAAAUUUGUUUUAUUUUCCCAUCAUUACUUUUUCAUUACCCUUAGAUCAGAACACCAAAUAUAAUCCACAAAUUAAUAGCGUAAUCUUUCAGAUAAAUGAGGUAAACACAACUUCUUUACUGGCAGUUCGAAUUUGUAGGCAACUAUUAUCAACCUUCCCACAGAACUGUGCUUUUUAAAAUUGUGUUAAAAUUGGUAAAAGGAGGAGUUCUCUCAUGGUGCAGCAGGUUAAGGAUCCAGCAUUAUCACUGCAGUGGCUUGGGUCACUGCCGUGGUGCAGGUUCAAUCCCUGACCCAGGAACUUCCACAUACUGUGGGUGCG